This 404-nucleotide ribosomal RNA is filed under the name uncultured bacterium. RNAcentral describes it as "bacterial SSU rRNA". It matches the Rfam family "Bacterial small subunit ribosomal RNA", at positions 976 to 1380 of the family's 1533-position model. The record is from RNAcentral.
CGGGCUUGAAUUGCAGACGAACGAUUCAGAGAUGAAGAGGCCCUUCGGGGCGUCUGUGAAGGUGCUGCAUGGUUGUCGUCAGCUCGUGCCGUGAGGUGUCGGCUUAAGUGCCAUAACGAGCGCAACCCCUAUUCUCGGUUGCCAUCGGGUAAUGCCGGGCACUCCGUGGAGACUGCCACCGUAAGGUGUGAGGAAGGUGGGGACGACGUCAAAUCAGCACGGCCCUUACGUCCGGGGCUACACACGUGUUACAAUGGCCGGUACAGCGAGUCGGCCGCAUGCAAAUGCGGUCCAAUCCUGAAAGCCGGUCCCAGUUCGGACCGGGGUCUGCAACCCGACCCCGCGAAGCCGGAUUCGCUAGUAAUCGCGCAUCAGCCAUGGCGCGGUGAAUACGUUCCCGGGCC